UUCUUGUUGCUGAUCUGUUCUUAGGUCUAUAAUUGAUCCUUUAUCAUUAUUGAUCUUUAUCGUGGCUAGUGUAUCAGUUUUCCCCGUGAGGACUGUGGUUGUUUUGUAGGCCCUCCUCUUACACUCUACGGGUUGACGAUUUCUUCCCUGUGGGUUGCAGUUUUGGCUUGAUCUUCUAUUAAUGCCCCUUUACUGU
Molecule: long non-coding RNA, 196 nt
Organism: Telopea speciosissima
Lineage: Eukaryota; Viridiplantae; Streptophyta; Magnoliopsida; Proteales; Proteaceae
Exons: 3
Source: RefSeq, a predicted model, not a curated record